RNAcentral lists this ribosomal RNA (763 nucleotides) under uncultured bacterium. Its description in RNAcentral is "bacterial SSU rRNA". It matches the Rfam family "Bacterial small subunit ribosomal RNA", at positions 28 to 805 of the family's 1533-position model. The record is from RNAcentral.
GACGCCCUCUGGCGGCGCGCCUAACACAUGCAAGUCGAACGAGAGAUGAGGAGCUUGCUCUUCAAAUCGAGUGGCGAACGGGUGAGUAACGCGUGAGGAACCUGCCUCAAAGAGGGGGACAACAGUUGGAAACGACUGCUAAUACCGCAUAAGCCCACGGCUCGGCAUCGAGCAGAGGGAAAAGGAGCAAUCCGCUUUGAGAUGGCCUCGCGUCCGAUUAGCUAGUUGGUGAGGUAACGGCCCACCAAGGCGACGAUCGGUAGCCGGACUGAGAGGUUGAACGGCCACAUUGGGACUGAGACACGGCCCAGACUCCUACGGGAGGCAGCAGUGGGGAAUUUGCACAAUGGGGGAAACCCUGAUGCAGCGACGCCGCGUGGAGGAAGAAGGUCUUCGGAUUGUAAACUCCUGUUGUUGAGGAAGAUAAUGACGGUACUCAACAAGGAAGUGACGGCUAACUACGUGCCAGCAGCCGCGGUAAAACGUAGGUCACAAGCGUUGUCCGGAAUUACUGGGCGUAAAGGGAGCGCAGGCGGGAGAACAAGUUGGGAGUGAAAUCCAUGGGCUCAACCCAUGAACUGCUUUCAAAACUGUUUUUCUUGAGUAGUGCAGAGGUAGGCGGAAUUCCCGGUGUAGCGGUGGAAUGCGUAGAUAUCGGGAGGAACACCAGUGGCGAAGGCGGCCUACUGGGCACCAACUGACGCUGAGGCUCGAAAGUGUGGGUAGCAAACAGGAUUAGAUACCCUGGUAGUCCACACCGUAA